Daphnia magna is the source of this 1372-nucleotide long non-coding RNA. RefSeq lists it as uncharacterized. Lineage: Eukaryota; Metazoa; Arthropoda; Branchiopoda; Diplostraca; Daphniidae. The record is from RefSeq and is a predicted model, not a curated record. The transcript has 3 exons.
CCUUUUUUCUCUCUCAUUCGGGGAUGACAUGUGCGUUGCAUAAGAAAGUAGCCGACUUUGUCCCCCCCCCUCCCCCUUUCCAUGCGUGUUUUUUUUUUUAUUAUUAUUAUUAUUUUUUUAACAAGGCGGAUGCUACGUAUAGCCACACAUUAUUCGCGCACAUCCGCAAUUCCGGUUCCCUCCUCCGUUUUUCCCCGUUUUUCUUAUUCUCAUUUUCCAUGGAAUGACACGAGAGAAUUUUCAACGUUCCCGUGAAUCCAACAAAAAAAAACGUAAGGGAUGGGCUAAUGUGUGUGGGUCCUCGCUGGCUUGCAGCGUGUGUGAACGCUGUUGCUGCCGAGGGCGGCAGAAAUAGAAGAAGAAGACGAAAAGGGAAGAAGAAGAAGAAAGAAAAAAAAAAACGAAAAAAUUCCCGCGGCCAUAUCGGGGUUGAUGGUGGAAGUAAAAAUUAAAAAAAAAAUAUAUAUAUAUAGUGGUAGUGGUGGUGGUGGUAGUACAGUGGUGAAGCGGCACAGCAGCGCAUCCUCCCGAAGGCCAAAAAAAGAAUUUCUCGUCCGACUCUUUUCUUUCUAUAGUCGGGCAACAAGAAAUUCACGAUGCCAUACAUGAAAAAAAAAAAAAUGCACAUUUCUUUUUCAUAUAUAUAACCGAACGUAGGUGUACCUACAAUUCUAUCGACGACGAUCACGCGCACGGGGGGGAAAGACGAAAGAGAGGGGCAUUAAAUAAUGCAUUUUGGCUAUAUGUGUGUGUGUGUGUGUGUGAGUGUGUGUGUAGAAAAAAGAAUAAAACCAGCCGAACUUUUAAUAAAUUCCAAAGGCGGCCUGCUUUUCUCUUUUCAAACGCACAUAUACGUAUUUUAUGCGAUGUUGGUUUCCUUUUUUUGGGUUGUUCGAUGGGAUGUUCGAGCUCACGGUAAGCCGGGGUGGGUUUUUUGAACGCGUAGCGAACUGGAAAAGAGAAAAAGCCUGGCGUACGUUCGAGAAAACGGAAAGAAAACCCGCAUCGUUAUGUAUGUUUUGUUGAGAAGUUUUGGGUUGAGUAUGCUCUCUUUUCGUCCGUGUCUUUUUAAAGGUGGGUGGAACGGACGAGGUGCGCGGGAAAAAAAGGAACAAAAUUGGUCGAGAAAAUUAUACAACCGCUGAGUUCGGGGGAAGGGGCCGACCACUUUGGAUCGUGAUGUUCUUCUGUACACAUUUUCUCUCGCUCUCGUUUGUAAUUUAACCGACAAAUGGUGUUACGUACACUGAAAACACUUUUCCCUUUUCAUGGUAUAUAGCGAACCAAACAAGCUGUACGUUCGGACUUUGUCCUUCCAUCCCUCCUCUUUGCGUGAAAAUGUCUUUUUUUUUAUUCAAAGAGAUGCCGGUGU